Molecule: ribosomal RNA, 550 nt
Filed under: uncultured Glomeromycotina
Lineage: Eukaryota; Fungi; Glomeromycota
Description: SSU rRNA
Rfam family: Eukaryotic small subunit ribosomal RNA
Source: RNAcentral
UUGGAGGGCAAGUCUGGUGCCAGCGGCCGCGGUAAUUCCAGCUCCAAUAGCGUAUACUAAAGUUGUUGCAGUUAAAAAGCUCGUAGUUGAAUUUCGGGGUUUAUCCGUUGGUCGGGCUUUUGGGUCUGUACUGGCGUGAUGGAUUCCUACCUUCUGAAUAACCAGCAUGUCAUUAAUUUGGUGCGUUGGGGAAGCAGGACUGUUACCUUGAAAAAAUUAGAGUGCUUAAAGCAGGCUAUUGCCUGAAUACAUUAGCAUGGAAUAAUGAAAUAGGACGCAUGGUUCUAUUUUGUUGGUUUCUAGGAUCACCGUAAUGAUUAAUAGGGAUAGUUGGGGGCAUUAGUAUUCAAUUGUCAGAGGUGAAAUUCUUGGAUUUAUUGAAGACUAACUUCUGCGAAAGCAUUUGCCAAGGAUGUUUUCAUUAAUCAAGAACGAAAGUUAGGGGAUCGAAGACGAUCAGAUACCGUCGUAGUCUUAACCAUAAACUAUGCCGACUAGGGAUCGGACGAUGUUAAUUUUUUAAUGACUCGUUCGGCGCCUUACGGGAAAC